CAGCAGCCACGGUAAUACGUAGGUGGCAAGCGUUGUCCGGAAUUAUUGGGCGUAAAAGGCUCGCAGGCGGUUUCUUAAGUCUGAUGUGAAAGCCCCCGGCUCAACCGGGGAGGGUCAUUGGAAACUGGGAAACUUGAGUGCAGAAGAGGAGAGUGGAAUUCCACGUGUAGCGGUGAAAUGCGUAGAGAUGUGGAGGAACACCAGUGGCGAAGGCGACUCUCUGGUCUGUAACUGACGCUGAGGAGCGAAAGCGUGGGGAGCGAACAGGAUUAGAUACCCCAGUAGUCCCUGUCUCUUAUAC
RNAcentral lists this ribosomal RNA (301 nucleotides) under uncultured bacterium. RNAcentral describes it as "partial 16S ribosomal RNA". It matches the Rfam family "Bacterial small subunit ribosomal RNA", at positions 509 to 807 of the family's 1533-position model. The record is from RNAcentral.